RNAcentral lists this ribosomal RNA (163 nucleotides) under uncultured bacterium. RNAcentral's name for it is "partial 16S rRNA". It matches the Rfam family "Bacterial small subunit ribosomal RNA", at positions 355 to 511 of the family's 1533-position model. The record is from RNAcentral.
UAGGGAAUCUUCCACAAUGGACGAAAGUCUGAUGGAGNAAGCCGCGUGAGUGAAGAAGGUUUUCGGAUCGUAAAGCUCUGUUGUUGGUGAAGAAGGAUAGAGGCNGUAACUGGUCUUUAUUUGACGGUAAUCAACCAGAAAGUCACGGCUAACUACGUGCCAG